RNAcentral lists this ribosomal RNA (225 nucleotides) under Klebsiella pneumoniae. Its description in RNAcentral is "partial 16S ribosomal RNA". It matches the Rfam family "Bacterial small subunit ribosomal RNA", at positions 1198 to 1422 of the family's 1533-position model. Lineage: Bacteria; Pseudomonadati; Pseudomonadota; Gammaproteobacteria; Enterobacterales; Enterobacteriaceae. The record is from RNAcentral.
GCCCUUACGACCAGGGCUACACACGUGCUACAAUGGCAUAUACAAAGAGAAGCGACCUCGCGAGAGCAAGCGGACCUCAUAAAGUAUGUCGUAGUCCGGAUUGGAGUCUGCAACUCGACUCCAUGAAGUCGGAAUCGCUAGUAAUCGUAGAUCAGAAUGCUACGGUGAAUACGUUCCCGGGCCUUGUACACACCGCCCGUCACACCAUGGGAGUGGGUUGCAAAA